ACACGUCUACAUUUAGAUUACCCGCGUAGUCCCAGCCGUAAACUAUGCUCGCUAGGUGUCAGGCAUUGGCGCGACCGUGUCUGGUGCCGCAGGGAAGCCGUGAAGCGAGCCACCUGGGAAGUACGGCCGCAAGGCUGAAACUUAAAGGAAUUAGCGGGGGAGCACCACAACGGGUGGAGCCUGCGGUUUAAUUGGACUCAACGCCGGGAAGCUCACCGGAUAAGACAGCGGAAUGAUUGCCGGGGCUGAAGACUCUGCAUGACUAGCUG
This 269-nucleotide ribosomal RNA is filed under the name uncultured archaeon. Its description in RNAcentral is "partial 16S ribosomal RNA". It matches the Rfam family "Archaeal small subunit ribosomal RNA", at positions 717 to 982 of the family's 1478-position model. The record is from RNAcentral.